CGUCCGUAGCCGGUCCGGCAAGUCUCUGGUCAAAUCUAACGGCUCAACCGUUAGGCUGCUAGAGAUACUGCCAGACUCGGAGGCGGGAAAGGUCGAGGGUACUCUCAGGGUAGGGGUGAAAUCCGAUAAUCCUGAGGGGACCACCAGUGGCGAAGGCGCUCGACUGGAACGCGCUCGACGGUGAGGGACGAAAGCUAGGGGAGCGAACCGGAUUAGAUACCCGGGUAGUCCUAGCUGUAAACGAUGUGGACUAAGUGUUAGGGCGGCCACGAGCUGCCCUAGUGCUGCAGGGAAGCCGUUAAGUCCCCCGCCUGGGGAGUACGGCCGCAAGGCUGAAACUUAAAGGAAUUGGCGGGGGAGCACCACAAGGGGUGAAGCCUGCGGUUUAAUUGGACUCAACGCCGGGAAUCUUAUCGGGAGCGACAGCAGAAUGAAGGCCAGGCUGACGACCUUGCCAGACAAGCUGAGAGGAGGUGCAUGGCCGUCGACAGUUCGUGCCGUGAGGUGUCCUGUUAAGUCAGGCAACGAACGAGACCCUUGCCAUUAGUUGCCAGCGGAACCCUAACAGGUUGCCGGGCACACUAAUGGGACUGCCACUGAUAAAGUGGAGGAAGGCAAGGGCAACGGCAGGUCAGUAUGCCCCGAAUCUCCCGAGCCACACGCGGGCUGCAAUGGCUAGGACAAUGGGUUCCGACACCGAGAGGUGAAGGUAAUCCCACAAACCUAGUCUCAGUUGGGAUCGAGGGCUGCAACUCGCCCUCGUGUACAUGGAAUCCCUAGUAAUCGCGUGUCAUCAUCGCGCGGUGAAUACGUCCCUGCUCCUUGCACACACCGCC
RNAcentral lists this ribosomal RNA (836 nucleotides) under uncultured euryarchaeote. RNAcentral's name for it is "bacterial SSU rRNA". It matches the Rfam family "Archaeal small subunit ribosomal RNA", at positions 516 to 1350 of the family's 1478-position model. The record is from RNAcentral. Lineage: Archaea; Methanobacteriati; Methanobacteriota.